AAUGAACGGCUAAUGAAGACUCAACUGUCUCUUGCAGCCUACCAAUGAAACUGAUCUCUUAGUUCAAAAGCUAAGAUUUCUUCACAAGACGAGAAGACCCUGUGGAGCUAUUAAACCAAACUCACAAAAAUGACCCCUUGGUUUUCAGUUGGGGCGACUUCGGAGCAUAAAAAACCCUCCGACACAGUACCAAUCAAACCCAGAUGGACACAUCAAUACACCAAGACCCAGUAGCUUAUUUUUAAGCUAUCUGAUCAAUGAACCAAGUUACCCCAGGGAUAACAGCGCCAUCCUCUCUUAGAGUCCCUAUCGACGAGAGGGAUUACGACCUCGAUGUUGGAUCAGGACACCCUAAUAGUGCAGCCGCUAUUAAUGGUUCGUUUGUUCAACGAUUAA
RNAcentral lists this ribosomal RNA (396 nucleotides) under Acanthodactylus boskianus (Bosk's fringe-fingered lizard). Its description in RNAcentral is "partial 16S ribosomal RNA". It matches the Rfam family "Archaeal large subunit ribosomal RNA", at positions 2068 to 2660 of the family's 2987-position model. Lineage: Eukaryota; Metazoa; Chordata; Lepidosauria; Squamata; Lacertidae. The record is from RNAcentral.